GACUACAGGGGUAUCUAAUCCUGUUUGAUCCCCACGCUUUCGUGCCUCAGUGUCAGUGUCGGCUUGGUAAGCUGCCUUCGCAAUCGGUGUUCUAAGUCAUAUCUAAGCAUUUCACCGCUACAUGACUUAUUCCGCCUACCUCAACCGAACUCAAGACUAACAGUAUCAAUGGCAAUUCCCAAGUUGAGCUCGGGGCUUUCACCACUGACUUAUCAAUCCACCUACGCACCCUUUAAACCCAGUGAAUCCGGAUAACGCUUGCACCCUCCGUAUUACCGCGGCUGCUGGCACGGAGUUAGCCGGUGCUUAUUCCUUAGGUACCGUCAAGUUCUGAUGAAUCAAAACGUUUCUUCCCUAAUAAAAGAAGUUUACAAUCCGUAGGACCUUCAUCCUUCACGCGGCAUGGCUGGGUCAGAGUUUCCUCCAUUGCCCAAUAUUCCCUACUGCAGCCCCCCGUAGG
Molecule: ribosomal RNA, 460 nt
Filed under: uncultured Chitinophagaceae bacterium
Lineage: Bacteria; Pseudomonadati; Bacteroidota; Chitinophagia; Chitinophagales; Chitinophagaceae
Description: partial 16S ribosomal RNA
Source: RNAcentral